This 467-nucleotide unclassified non-coding RNA is filed under the name uncultured cyanobacterium. RNAcentral's name for it is "partial contains 16S ribosomal RNA and 16S-23S ribosomal RNA intergenic spacer". The stretch from base 1 to 121 matches the Rfam family "Bacterial small subunit ribosomal RNA", at positions 1414 to 1533 of the family's 1533-position model. Lineage: Bacteria; Bacillati; Cyanobacteriota. The record is from RNAcentral.
GGCACGCCCGAAGUCGUUACUCCAACCCUUGUGGAGGAGGACGCCGAAGGUGGGGCUGAUGACUGGGGUGAAGUCGUAACAAGGUAGCCGUACCGGAAGGUGCGGCUGGAUCACCUCCUAACAGGGAGACACAACUGAUCGUGAUGUCUGAGCGCCACUGGAGUCAAAGCUCAAGAGGCAUUUUGUUUCAGGCCACGAUCCUGUCAUCUCGAAGGUCGAUCGGUACCUCAAGGUGAGCCAUCAAUGCCAGGGAUGAAUCCCCAGAGCUCGAGAGAGCGGCAAGGAGGAAGCCAGGGAUGAUGUGAUGGUUUCGUUUUCAGUUCCUAAACUUUGUCUAGGUCACCCCACCAAGGGUCCUGGCGAUCAAGGCGAUCAAGGCGCUGCCGGAAGGUGCGUCAAGAAACCGCCGCCGCGUUCAGGCCCGUGUCAGAGUGAUUGUUCCUGGGCCAUUAGCUCAGGUGGUUAGA